GAUGAACGCUGGCGGCGUGCCUAAUACAUGCAAGUCGAGCGAACAGACGAGGAGCUUGCUCCUCUGACGUUAGCGGCGGACGGGUGAGUAACACGUGGAUAACCUACCUAUAAGACUGGGAUAACUUCGGGAAACCGGAGCUAAUACCGGAUAAUAUAUUGAACCGCAUGGUUCAAUAGUGAAAGACGGUUUUGCUGUCACUUAUAGAUGGAUCCGCGCCGCAUUAGCUGGUUGGCAAGGUAACGGCUUACCAAGGCAACGAUGCGUAGCCGACCUGAGAGGGAGAUCGGCCACCCUGUCGCUGAGACACGGUCCCGACUCCUACAGGAGGCAGCAGUAGGGAAUCUUCCGCAAUGGGCGAAAGCCUAACGGAGCACCGCCGCGUGAGUGAUGAAGGUCUUCGGAUCGUAGAACUCUGUUAUUAGGGAAGAACAAAUGUGUAAGUAACUAUGCACGUCUUGACGGUACCUAAUCAGAAAGCCACGGCUAACUACGUG
RNAcentral lists this ribosomal RNA (497 nucleotides) under uncultured bacterium. RNAcentral describes it as "partial 16S ribosomal RNA". It matches the Rfam family "Bacterial small subunit ribosomal RNA", at positions 28 to 507 of the family's 1533-position model. The record is from RNAcentral.